Molecule: RNA transcript, 1217 nt
Organism: Mauremys mutica (yellowpond turtle)
Lineage: Eukaryota; Metazoa; Chordata; Testudines; Geoemydidae
Gene name: pro-neuregulin-2, membrane-bound isoform-like
Exons: 4
Source: RefSeq, a predicted model, not a curated record
AAUGGCCUUCUCCUGAAAGCCCACUGCAGUGGGAAAGUCUUGUUAUUAUCUCGCUUGUUUAUUAAGAAGAGACAGCAGGGGUCACCACAUGAAAGAAGCCAUUUUCUCUUCAGCGGCUCUCUUUUCUUUUGCCAGCGCCUCUGUUUCCCCUCCCGAAGCGGCGGCGAAGCGGCAGCCCCCCAAAUGGCCUGGCCAGAUGCGGCAGGUCUGCUGCUCAGCGCCGCGACUGGAGGAGGCUCCGUGCGCCAGCAGCAGCAGCGCCCGCCCCGCUGCGCCUCCCGAGCAGCCGCAGCCUUGCAGCCCGGACAGCAGCCGCCGCAGCAGCCGCCGCAGCCGACGGCAUGAGGCGCGAUCCGACCCCCGGCUUCUCCAUGCUGCUCUUCGGGGUGUCUCUCGCCUGCUACUCCCCCAGCCUCAAAUCGGUGCAGGACCAGGCGUACACCGCGGCCGUGGUGGUGGAGGGCAAGGUGCAGGCGCUGCCCCCCCCGCCCGGCAGCGGCAAUGGCACCCGCGAGCCCCCUGCCUCCGCUGGGGGGGUCCUGGUGAAAGUCUUGGACCUGUGGCCCCGCAACAGCGGGGGGCUGCAGCGCGAGCAACUGAUCAGCGUGGGCAGUGCGGGCUCCCCGGCGCCCUGCUUCAAAGUGAAGAGGAACCACCGCUACAUCUUCUUCCUGGAGCCCACCGAGCAGCCCCUGGUCUUCAGGACAUCCUUCGCCCCCCUGGACACCAGCGGCAAGAACCUCAAGAAGGAUGUGGGCAGGAUCCUGUGCGCAGACUGCGACAUGGCAUGGUUCCUGCCUGUCUCUGUCCCCGGUGUUCUGGAGGGGAAAGGUAGCUUGGCGGAUCUACAGCUGACCUCAGAGAUCCUAGCUCAGGCUGCUGUAUAAUUAGUCAGGAGGCCACAUAUGGGACGUGCCAGAGCAGACGAGGGAUGAAGGCGAGCGAGGAAGAGGGUGAACUCUCCACAGAACUGAAGAAGAUCCAAAGGCAGUGGACAAGGGUCAGGGAGAAAAUAGGCCUGAAACAUUGUUGUUCAGAGGCUGUUAGUCACCUGUUAGAUUGACGGGGAAAGGAAGGCAGGAUCAUUUCCAGAUGCAUGGGGUUGGAUUUUUUUCUCCUUGUGCUAUAUUGUUGUAUUGCCUUUGUUAUCCAUUUUGAUCCUUCUCUUCUGAAAAUGUUCACCCCACUCUGUACUGUAUACAAUGGCUGCAUGUGCU